CCUCGCUGUCGUUGGCAGAGUGAGACUUCUUCAUCUCUGCAAUCCUGUUUCUGGGAACUUUUCUCCUCAGUGAUGGAGAGAAGAAGGACGGACGGUUCCUCUCUGGGGUCGGAGGCGUGCUGAACGACGUCACCUGACAACAGCAGCCACGUUUACCACAGGAGGCCGAUGAGAUGCUCUUCAGGAAGAUCCCAGGUCUCCAAAUGCCAGGAAUCGUAUCGCUCACAGACCUUUUAGAGAGCCAGAAUGGUCGCCAUGGCGACGCCCGUUUGUGUGCGCAGAGCUGACGGGAUGAAAAAGGUCCAUGGAGGAAACAAGACAACUAGUCGAUGAUAAAAUCUCUGUGUUCUUGUUGG
Molecule: long non-coding RNA, 356 nt
Organism: Xiphophorus hellerii (green swordtail)
Lineage: Eukaryota; Metazoa; Chordata; Actinopteri; Cyprinodontiformes; Poeciliidae
Exons: 2
Source: RefSeq, a predicted model, not a curated record